UACGUAGGGUGCAAGCGUUGUCCGGAAUUAUUGGGCGUAAAGAGCUCGUAGGCGGUCUGUUGCGUCGGCUGUGAAAACCCGGGGCUCAACUCCGGGCCUGCAGCCGAUACGGGCAGACUAGAGUUCGGCAGGGGAGACUGGAAGUUCCUGGUGAUAGCGGUGAAAUGCGCAGAUAUCUGGAGGAACACCGGUGGCGAAGGCGGCAUUCUGGACCAUAACUGACACUGAG
RNAcentral lists this ribosomal RNA (229 nucleotides) under uncultured bacterium. Its description in RNAcentral is "partial 16S ribosomal RNA". It matches the Rfam family "Bacterial small subunit ribosomal RNA", at positions 524 to 750 of the family's 1533-position model. The record is from RNAcentral.